UGCUGUACAUGCUCACUCAUCGACACGGCUGGGGCACAAAGUGGAACCGUCACAAACGUUGGUCACACCUGUGCUUUUCUGCUUUGACAUGUCAAAAUGUCUGCUGUAGAAAUGGUUCAUGACGCACCUGAGUCACGCUGCGUCAGUCCUCGAUGUGCUGAAGGACGCCACAUUUUUGGUUUAUAAAGCGUCACGAGCAGCAACAAAGUGAGAAGAUAAGAAAGUCGAGGCAGAGAACUGCAGAGAAGCGGGAGAGAAAACAGAGGAGGCAGAUUUGAGCUCUGUUGAGCUUCAACCUGAAUCCAGCAGGGGGAACAUGUGCGACUGCAGAGCUGGAGGGGCGGUGGGGGGGGACUUGAUGGUG
This is a long non-coding RNA of Acanthopagrus latus (yellowfin seabream), 364 nucleotides long. RefSeq lists it as uncharacterized. The transcript is spliced from 3 exons. NCBI's taxonomy places the organism in Eukaryota, Metazoa, Chordata, Actinopteri, Spariformes, Sparidae. The record is from RefSeq and is a predicted model, not a curated record.